CCCGAAUCUAAAUGAGCUAUUUUUAUUCUACCCCCACUGUUGCAUAAUUGGAUCAAGAAAUAAAAAUAGAAGCUACAUACCACCCGCAUUUAGUAAUAUCUGGUUGUUCAUAAAUCUGAUAUCAGACAAUCAACCCAUGUAUUGUAAUUAAUAAGGGAUAAGCCUUAUUAAAUAAGCCAGAACCCUAUAAUUUCUACUUCAUAGGCUUAAUAUCAGCCCUUGCCACCUAUUCGUCAUAGACACAUAGCAAUUUCACCACCAUUCUUCUGCUCCACUACAAGAACCUCUAACACCAACCGCUAAUGCCCAAGAAACUGUUUAAAUAAGUACAAUUAACAAAUCAAAAUUACAUCUUACAUCACGCUCAAAAAUUAACACACACCACCUUAUAAGUAUGAACUCGACAAAAAAAUCUCUGUCUGUUUAGCAAAAACAUAGCCUGUAGUCAAUAUAUUACAGGUAUCCCCUGCCCAGUGAAAAUUUUAACGGCCACAGUAUCCUGACUGUGCAAAGGUAGCAUAAUAAUUUGCCAUUUAAUUGGUGGCUAGCAUGAAUGGGUAAACAGAGAUCUAUUUUAUUCUUAUUUUACUGUAAAUUAGUAAUUAUGUGAAAAACCAUAAAUUUCCCUGAAAGACAAAAAGACCCUACUGAGCUUAAAGAUCUCUUCCUACUCUAGGACCACCUCUUUUAGCUGGGACGACUAAAGAGCACACCUAAACCUCUUAGAAUGUAUUAGACACCCUGUCACACAAUUGCCCCUUCAAUGAUCACCGAAUAUAAGUUACCAUAGGGAUAACAGGCUAAUUCUCCUUAGGAGCCCAAAUCGACAGGAGAGCUUGGCACCUCGAUGUUGGCUUAGGGUUACUUUUUCUUGCAGAAGGGAAAAAAGUUGGUUUGUUCAACCAUUAAACCCCUACAUGAGCUGAGUUAAGACCGCUGCAAAGUAGGUCGGUUUCUAUCUUCAGUUAACUAAUAUAGCUAAUAGUACGAAAGGACCUUAGCUA
RNAcentral lists this ribosomal RNA (1004 nucleotides) under Sabella spallanzanii. Its description in RNAcentral is "16S ribosomal RNA". It matches the Rfam family "Bacterial large subunit ribosomal RNA", at positions 714 to 2700 of the family's 2925-position model. Lineage: Eukaryota; Metazoa; Annelida; Polychaeta; Sabellida; Sabellidae. The record is from RNAcentral.